AAGCCAUGAUUUGAUCAUUUUAUCAACAUCACUUUGAAUCUCUCCCAUGUUUCACAAAAGGCUUCAUCAAAUCCUUGUUGGAACAUAGAAAUAUCAUACUUUUCUUU
RNAcentral lists this small nucleolar RNA (107 nucleotides) under Phaseolus vulgaris (common bean). RNAcentral's name for it is "Plant small nucleolar RNA R71". It matches the Rfam family "Plant small nucleolar RNA R71". Rfam says of the family: R71 is a member of the C/D box family of snoRNAs containing the C (UGAUGA) and D (CUGA) box motifs. Multiple nearly identical copies of this snoRNA have been identified in Arabidopsis, and it is thought to function as a 2'-O-ribose methylation guide for 18S ribosomal RNA. The record is from Rfam by way of RNAcentral. Lineage: Eukaryota; Viridiplantae; Streptophyta; Magnoliopsida; Fabales; Fabaceae.